Molecule: ribosomal RNA, 775 nt
Filed under: uncultured Neocallimastigales
Lineage: Eukaryota; Fungi; Neocallimastigomycota; Neocallimastigomycetes; Neocallimastigales
Description: partial large subunit ribosomal RNA
Rfam family: Eukaryotic large subunit ribosomal RNA
Source: RNAcentral
UCAGACGAUGCGUCAUGCAUAUCAAUAAGCGGAGGAAAAGAAACUAACAAGGAUUCCCUUAGUAACGGCGAGUGAAGCGGGAAGAGCUCAAAUUUGAAAUCUUCAAGGUUUUACCUUGACGAAUUGUAGUUUAAAGAAGUGUUUUCUGCUGAAGUUUUGGUAAAAGUUCUUUGGAAUAGGACAUCAUAGAGGGUGAGAAUCCCGUAUUUGACCAUUAUUUUCAGCUUUGUGAUACACUUUCAAGGAGUCGGAUUGUUUGGGAAUGCAGUCCAAAAUGGGUGGUAAAUUUCAUCCUAAAGCUAAAUAUUGGCGAGAGACCGAUAGCGAACAAGUACCGUGAGGGAAAGAUGAAAAGAACUUUGAAAAGAGAGUUAAACAGUACGUGAAAUUGUCAAAAGGGAAGCGUUUGACACCAGUGUUGUUUUCUCGAAAAUCAAUUAAAAAUGGCUCGAUUUUGUAUUGUUGAGACCUUAAAAGCUCACUGUACAUUUUUCGUGUCUUUUUUAAUGCACUUUUCGUUUAACAAGUCAACAUCAGUUUCUUUUGUUGUAAAAGGGUCAUUGGAAGGUGGCUUUCUUUUCGGAGAAAGUGUUUAUAGCCUUUGGCCUCUGCAAUCGGAGAGACUGAGGUCUGCAGCGUAGACUCUUCGGGGUUAGAUACAUUUGUGCUAAGUUAUAGCUUUUUAUAGACAACUUGUUGACUAUAAUUAGUCUUGUAGCUUACUCGCUUAUGCUAUUUUACCUACGCUUAGGAUGUUGAACUACUGAGACAUAGA